RNAcentral lists this transfer RNA (69 nucleotides) under Marmota monax (woodchuck). Its description in RNAcentral is "tRNA.Ala". The record is from RNAcentral. Lineage: Eukaryota; Metazoa; Chordata; Mammalia; Rodentia; Sciuridae.
GGGGUUGUGACUCAGUGGUAGAGCGCUUGCCUAGCAUGUGAGGCACUGGGUUCAAUUCUCAGCACCACA